RNAcentral lists this unclassified non-coding RNA (337 nucleotides) under soil metagenome. RNAcentral's name for it is "partial contains 5.8S ribosomal RNA, internal transcribed spacer 2, and large subunit ribosomal RNA". The stretch from base 1 to 119 matches the Rfam family "5.8S ribosomal RNA", at positions 35 to 154 of the family's 154-position model. The record is from RNAcentral.
GAUGAAGAACGUAGCGAAAUGCGAUACGUAAUGUGAAUUGCAAAUUCAGUGAAUCAUCGAAUCUUUGAACGCACAUUGCGCCCUUUGGUAUUCCAAAGGGCAUGCCUGUUCGAGCGUCAUUUGUACCCUCAAGCUUUGCUUGGUGUUGGGCGUCUUGUCUCCAGUCCGCUGGAGACUCGCCUUAAAGUCAUUGGCAGCCGGCCUACUGGUUUCGGAGCGCAGCACAAGUCGCACUCUUUUCCAGCCAAGGUCAGUGUCCAACAAGCCUUUUUUCAACUUUUGACCUCGGAUCAGGUAGGGAUACCCGCUGAACUUAAGCAUAUCAAUAAGCGGAGGA